Molecule: ribosomal RNA, 648 nt
Filed under: uncultured bacterium
Lineage: Bacteria
Description: bacterial SSU rRNA
Rfam family: Bacterial small subunit ribosomal RNA
Source: RNAcentral
GAAAGGAGGAAUCCGGUGGCGGCUGGGCAUGCGGCGCAUUAGCUUGACGGCGGGGUAACGGCCCACCGUGGCGACGAUGCGUAGGGGUUCUGAGAGGAAGGCCCCCCACACUGGAACUGAGACACGGUCCAGACUCCUACGGGAGGCAGCAGUGAGGAAUAUUGGUCAAUGGGCGGAAGCCUGAACCAGCCAAGUCGCGUGAGGGAAUAAGGCCCUACGGGUCGUAAACCUCUUUUGCCGGGGAGCAAGGGCCGGGACGCGUCCCGGCCCGGAGAGUACCCGGAGAAAAAGCAUCGGCUAACUCCGUGCCAGCAGCCGCGGUAAUACGGAGGAUGCGAGCGUUAUCCGGAUUUAUUGGGUUUAAAGGGUGCGUAGGCGGGCUUUUAAGUCAGCGGUAAAAAUUCGGGGCUCAACCCCGUCCGGCCGUUGAAACUGGGGGCCUUGAGUGGGCGAGAAGAAGGCGGAAUGCGUGGUGUAGCGGUGAAAUGCAUAGAUAUCACGCAGAACCCCGAUUGCGAAGGCAGCCUUCCGGCGCCCUACUGACGCUGAGGCACGAAAGUGCGGGGAUCGAACAGGAUUAGAUACCCUGGUAGUCCGCACAGUAAACGAUGGAUGCCAGCUGUCCGGGCCGAAUGGGGCCUGGGUGGC